Molecule: long non-coding RNA, 235 nt
Filed under: Medicago truncatula (barrel medic)
Lineage: Eukaryota; Viridiplantae; Streptophyta; Magnoliopsida; Fabales; Fabaceae
Description: long non-coding RNA (MTRU_LNC003128)
Source: RNAcentral
UAGAGCCACCCCUCCUAGAACCUUAUCCAUGAUAUGCUCCAAACUCAUCUCUGUUGGACUUUUCCUCUCCACUUGACCACCACCCAUUAUCCCUCCAACAUGAUCUCUAAUGUGCCCUUGUCGUGCACUCAUGUCUAGAUGUUGAUGGUCCUCGUGCUCCUCAGCAGCAAUCUCCUAAAGUAAGUAUGAUACAUGGAUGUGAAAUGGUAAAAUAUCAUCACAUGUAUUUAAUUGU